Molecule: unclassified non-coding RNA, 515 nt
Filed under: Hevea brasiliensis (rubber tree)
Lineage: Eukaryota; Viridiplantae; Streptophyta; Magnoliopsida; Malpighiales; Euphorbiaceae
Source: RNAcentral
ACCAGCUCUCAUCUUGACACCUUGACUAAAUGUCAACUUUGGGAAUUCUAAACUUCCAUAUGCAGUUCCUGUUCAAGAUUAUGAAAAUCAAUGUUCUGAGUAAGAGGAAAAAUAAUCAUCAAACUAUCAACAACACAUUGUGAUUUGUGAGUCAACAAAGUUAUUUUAGAUACUUCCAGCAAGCAAUAUCAAGGAAGAUUGGUGUAUAAACUUCUCUUCACACCUUCAAAUUAACUGUUGUGUAAAUUACUUAACCAUGUCCCUGGUUAGACAAAGGCUUAUUGGAUAGCUGAUAGAACCUAACACUUAAAAAAUAUUCUUUCUAUUAAAGUAGCAUGGCCACACAUUACAAACCAACUUUUCACAAUUACAUAUUUCUGUAAGAAAAAAAAAAUUCAAACAACAAUAUGAGAAUUAUUUAUGUGGUUUAUGCAAGCUUUUCCUUUUUUGUAUUUAUGACAAAAAAGCUGGAUAAUACAAGCCAUAGAACACAUGUCCAACCUGAUAAUUGACCA